RNAcentral lists this ribosomal RNA (253 nucleotides) under uncultured bacterium. RNAcentral describes it as "partial 16S ribosomal RNA". It matches the Rfam family "Bacterial small subunit ribosomal RNA", at positions 524 to 776 of the family's 1533-position model. The record is from RNAcentral.
UACGGAGGGUGCAAGCGUUAUCCGGAUUUACUGGGUUUAAAGGGUGCGUAGGUGGGUAGGUAAGUCAGUGGUGAAAUCUUCGAGCUUAACUCGGAAACUGCCAUUGAUACUAUUUAUCUUGAAUACUCUGGAGGUAAGCGGAAUAUGUCAUGUAGCGGUGAAAUGCUUAGAUAUGACAUAGAACACCAAUUGCGGAGGCAGCUUACUACAUAGUUAUUGACACUGAGGCACGAAAGCGUGGGGAUCAAACAGG